UCAAGUUAUUAAGGGUGCAGGGCGGAUGCCUUGGCACUAGGAGCCGAUGAAGGACGUGAUAAGCUGCGAUAAGCUUCGGGGAGUUGCACGUAAACUUUGAUCCGAAGAUUUCCGAAUGAGGAAACUCACUUAGAGUAAUGUCUAAGUAUCAUUAAGUGAAUACAUAGCUUAAUGAGGGGAACUCAGGGAACUGAAACAUCUAAGUACCUGAAGGAAGAGAAAGAAAUUCGAUUCCGUAAGUAGCGGCGAGCGAACGCGGAUUAGCCCAAACCAAUAAAGUUUUCUUUAUUGGGGUUGCGGACAUAUCAUAACGAAGAGGUAUCGUAAUUGAAGAGGUUUGGAAAGACCCACCACAGAAGGUAAUAGUCCUGUAUGUUAAACGAGAAGACUUUAGAUAUGAUCCAGAGUACCACGGGACACGUGAAACCCUGUGGGAAGCAGGAGGGACCACCCUCCAAGGCUAAAUACUACCUAGUGACCGAUAGCGUAUAGUACCGUGAGGGAAAGGUGAAAAGAACCCCGGGAGGGGAGUGAAAUAGAACCUGAAACCCUGCACUUACAAGCUGUGGAAGCACAUUUCUUGUGUGACCGCGUACUUUUUGUAGAACGGGCCAACGAGUUACGUUAAGUAGCAAGGUUAAGCACUUAAGGUGCGGAGCCGUAGCGAAAGCGAGUUUUAACUGAGCGUUCAGUUACUUGACGUAGACCCGAAACCGGGCGACCUACCCAUGAGCAGGAUGAAGCGAAAGUAAAAUUUCGUGGAGGUCCGAACCCACGAGCGUUGAAAAGCUCGGGGAUGACUUGUGGGUAGCGGUGAAAUUCCAAUCGAGCCCGGAGAUAGCUGGUUCUCCCCGAAAUAGCUUUAGGGCUAGCCUCAAGGUGAGAGAUACGGAGGUAGAGCACUGAAUGUCCUAGGGGGUAUUGCACCUACCGAAGACUAUCAAACUCCGAAUGCCGUCAUCUUAUACUUGGGAGUCAGACUGUGGGUGAUAAGAUUCAUAGUCGAAAGGGCAACAGCCCAGAUCGUCAGCUAAGGUCCCUAAAUGUAAGUUAAGUGGUAAAGGAUGUGGGAUUGCACAGACAACCAGGAUGUUGGCUUAGAAGCAGCCACUCAUUCAAAGAGUGCGUAAUAGCUCACUGGUCGAGUGAUCCUGCGCCGAAGAUUUCCGGGGCUAAAACUUACUACCGAAGCUACGGCAUCAGUAAUGAUGGGUAGGGGAGCUUCCCAUACGGGUUGAAGCAUGACCGUAAGGACAUGUGGACAGUAUGGGAGUGAGAAUGUUGGCAUGAGUAGCGAGAUGUGGGUGAGAAUCCCACAGGCCGUAAACCCAAGGUUUCCAGGGGAAGGUUCGUCCGCCCUGGGUUAGUCGGGACCUAAGCUGAGGCCGAAAGGCGUAGGUGAUGGACAACAGGUUGAUAUUCCUGUACUACCGAUAACCGUUUGAGAGAAGGGAUGACACAGUAGGAUAAGCUAAGCACACUGUUGGUUAUGUGUGCCCAAGCAUUGAGGCAGUCAAAGUAGGCAAAUCCGCUUUGAUAAUGCUGGGAUGUGAUGGGGAGCGAAAUUUAGUAGCGAAGUAGCUGAUUUCACACUGUCAAGAAAAGUCUCUAUCGAGGUUAAAGGUACCCGUACCGCAAACCGACACAGGUGGGUGAGGAGAGUAUCCUAAGGCCAGCGAGAGAACUGUUGUUAAGGAACUCGGCAAAAUGACCCCGUAACUUAGGGAUAAGGGGUGCCACCAUCAGGUGGCCGCAGAGAAUAGGCCCAAGCGACUGUUUACCAAAAACAUAGGUUUCUGCUAAGUCGCAAGACGAUGUAUAGGAGCUGACGCCUGCCCGGUGCUGGAAGGUUAAGGGGAUCUGUUAGAGCAAUCGAAGCAGUGAACUUAAGCCCCAGUAAACGGCGGCCGUAACUAUAACGGUCCUAAGGUAGCGAAAUUCCUUGUCGGGUAAGUUCCGACCCGCACGAAAGGCGUAAUGAUUUG
This 1985-nucleotide ribosomal RNA is filed under the name human gut metagenome. Its description in RNAcentral is "bacterial LSU rRNA". It matches the Rfam family "Bacterial large subunit ribosomal RNA", at positions 3 to 2011 of the family's 2925-position model. The record is from RNAcentral.